GUGCUCACUUCGGCAGCAUGUAUACUAAAAUUGGAACAAUAUAAAGAAGAUUAGCAUGGCUCUUGCGCAAGAAUGACAUGCAAAUUCAUGAAGCGUUCCAUAUUUUU
Marmota monax (woodchuck) is the source of this 107-nucleotide small nuclear RNA. Lineage: Eukaryota; Metazoa; Chordata; Mammalia; Rodentia; Sciuridae. The record is from RefSeq and is a predicted model, not a curated record.